GAGGAGUCCCAGGCGGGUGGGCAGUCGGACUGAGCCCGACCGAGCUGGUGCUGCGAGCCGAAGCUGCCACCUUUUCUGCCGCCUCAGGCGAGGGGCUCAGCGCUUGCCCCGAAGAAGGGAGCACAGGACUCCCCCCUGGCCCCGCGGCCGGCGAGAGCUGAGAGCUGCAGCUGUCCCAGGGAAGUGACAUCGCCACCUCCGUGGACCGGACAUCCUCAGGAGCCCCGCUCACAGCCACUGAUACCUUCUUCCAGGACCAGCCAGGGGCCUCCAUGGGAGCCUGGGGGCAGGGCGCCAGGGCGGCGGGGGCGANNNNNNNNNNNNNNNNNNNNNUACCAGCGGUCCCACGAUGACACCACGCCGGUGAGCCGUGCUGGGAUGGGGGCGGGCAACCUAGGGAGCCCCAGGGCCUGGGGGCCGGGUCUCAGCU
RNAcentral lists this long non-coding RNA (430 nucleotides) under Ursus maritimus (polar bear). Its description in RNAcentral is "lncRNA (ENSUMAG00000010835.1)". The record is from RNAcentral. Lineage: Eukaryota; Metazoa; Chordata; Mammalia; Carnivora; Ursidae.